Molecule: long non-coding RNA, 1332 nt
Filed under: Homo sapiens (human)
Lineage: Eukaryota; Metazoa; Chordata; Mammalia; Primates; Hominidae
Description: non-protein coding LINC01857:17
Source: RNAcentral
CCUUUUCCCUUUCUGCCCUCUGCCAUGUGAGGUCACAGUGUUCCUCCCUCCUGAGGAUGCAGUGUUCAUGAAAGCAAACACUGGGCCCUCACCAGGCAACAAACCUGCUGGUGCCUUCAUCUUGGACUUCCCAGCCUUCGGAACUAUGGAGCCCGCACUCUCCAGUUCAUCACCACCCCAGCAUCCCUACUCUUGCAUCUAACAGUUUCCGCUAUUUUGCACCACCUGCCUGGCCCUUAUGGGCAACUCAAGGAAGAAAGGAAAGAAGAGAUAGAGGAAAAAUGGAUUCAACAAAUGAAAGUGUUCUUUCUGACUACUGCUGUGUUUACAAACAUUUUAAUCAUCAAAACAUGCUUUAUUUGAUAGAAAGAUCAAAUCUGCCUUUGUAAAACAAGAGACUAUUUUAAUCAUUAAGACAACACACAUGUUUGAUUUGGAGGCGUGUUCUCAUUCAAAACCUUGCAAAAUAUAAUUUCUUCUUGUCUGGGAGAUGGUGUCUUUCUUCGGGGAGAACCUUGAGAGAAAUGUCUAUGAAUGUGUCUGUAGAUUGAGGAUAGGCCGUUAAGAAGCUCCACUGCGCUUUGUCCAUUGCAAGUUGAGAAGUGAGGCCCCAGCUGUCACAUACAGCUCCAUCACAAGAGGGAGCCCCAUUGCUAGUCCCCAUCCUCAAAGCCUCUGCGUGAUGUUGUCUACUGUUACUCUUCACUACCCUGUGGGAGCCAAAGCCCUGGACAUAAGAACAGAAGGCAAGCAGUGGUGGCUGAGAGGAAGAACUGACACCUUUGUGCUAUCAGAGCACUUUGCAGAGGAGCUGUUAGUGGCCCUGUAGGAGUCUGCUGGCCAUACAUCUGGGUGUCAAAUCAAGAGAGCAUGAGAAGUUGGACAGGAAAGGUCCAAGGCAAAAUGGUUACUAAAGGCCAUCCCUGAUCCUGACCCUAAAAGAAGAAAAGGCCCUUUGCUCUUGGCAUGCUUUUGCAGGAGUGUCUCAGUCUGUUUGGGCUGCUAUAACAUUGACUGGGUGAUCUGCCUGCCUGGCCUCCCAAAGUGCUGGGGUUACAGGUGUGAGCCGCUGCACCAGGCCUUGAGGUCAGGAGUUCGAGACCAGCCUGGCCAACAUGGUGAAACCUGUCUUUACUAAAAAUACAGAAAUUAGCCAGGCAUGGAGGCGCAUGCCUGUAAUCCCAGCUACUGGGGAGGCUGAGGCAGGAGAAUCGCUUGAACCCAGAAGGUGGAGGUUGCGGUGAGCCCAGAUAGUGCCAUUGCACUCUAGCCUGGCCAACAAGAGUGAAACUCUGUCUCAAAAAAUAAAUAAACAAACAAACAAACAACAAC